UAAAACAAGACUAUUAACGGAUUCUUAAAUUUAUACAACUGUAUAUCAAAAAAUAUUCAAACUGUUUUCUCUUCUAAACAAAAGCCUGAUUUUUAGGAACUUGGUACACAGGUACACCCCAAGUGGCGCUUACACAAGGAUCACAAAGCUAUAUAGGGCAAACAACACCUCUAAAAAACACAAGGAUCAAUAAGUUGUCCAGAAAAACCUACAGAAGCGGGGGAAAUAAGACCAAGCCUUACGUUAGGGCCGAGACAGAGUACACAGCGUGUCAAGAAGCGGGGCCAUCCGGAAUAACACAGAA
Long non-coding RNA from Oreochromis niloticus (Nile tilapia), 304 nucleotides. RefSeq lists it as uncharacterized. The record is from RefSeq and is a predicted model, not a curated record. NCBI's taxonomy places the organism in Eukaryota, Metazoa, Chordata, Actinopteri, Cichliformes, Cichlidae. The transcript has 4 exons.